CUUCACACUUCGGAAGCCACCUAAAUCUCCAGCCCUCUCUGCCUCCUCUCUCCUCUAUGUAAUCUACUUUUCACAUCUCUGAACUUAUUUAUGUUGUUCUUUCCGCCUGGAAUUCUCUGUGUCACCUUUCUAAGCCUGGAAAAGUUCUGUUAAUCCACUUCCCCAGAGGGAUAAUGCAAAGCUCCAAAUUUCCAAAGAAGCAUCUAAUGAAGUGAAAUUAUUUGAGUGAGUCACACAUCCACAGUGCUAUUCAACUCUGGAUUUAUUGGCUAAGAGAUCAUUUUAAACUUUCUCAAAAAAGACCAAUCUCCUUCAAACUGAAAACUUUAGGGGAAAAUCUCCAGGUGCUCUUUUUCAUCCUCUUCUCUACAACGAGUUAUGUCUGCCAAAGGACUAGGAGAAGACCAGAGGGUGAGCCCUGAGCCACAAGAAUGCAUCUGCUGAGACAUGUAACUGGGGAGAAAGAGAAGAAGGAUUUCUAGCUUCUGAGGAAGGAGGUCCUUCAGUCCUGAAAUGACAUCUGGGGAGCAUGUCACAGCAUCCACUAGAGUCCACUGCUUGUGCUGCUUGGAUCCACUUCUUCAUGGAGAAGUUCCUCUACCAAAAUUAUCUUGAAUGAUUCAACCGCUUCAAAUCCUUCAACAGUUCCCAAUCACUUACAGAUGGAAGUCCAAACCCCCCUGGCGUGAUUUUCAAGGUCUCCUCUUUUUAAAAAACGGAAUCUUUGGCAGAUCAAAGGUGGAACUAGAACCUAAGUCAACUGACUCCUGUUCUAAUAAUCCCUGAACAAAUAGCUAUAGUAAAUGUAGUAAGUUCUACAAGAAAGAUUAAGAUAGAGCACAGGGGUGGAUGGGGAGGCCCAUUUGUCAUAUGAUGCUUGCAUCUCCUCAGCCAUUCAUUUCCAGGGAUUGGAAUGCCUCCUAAAAGAUUAACCAUAGUCAUCUCGGGGUGGCAGAGUUGCAGGUGGUUUUUCAGAAUUUUGUUAUCAUUUUGAGUAUUUUUCAACAGCAAACAUUUUUCAUCUGCGUAAUAAAAGCAAAAUGAUAAUGACAG
This 1053-nucleotide long non-coding RNA is filed under the name Equus caballus (horse). RNAcentral describes it as "lncRNA (ENSECAG00000051978.1)". The record is from RNAcentral. Lineage: Eukaryota; Metazoa; Chordata; Mammalia; Perissodactyla; Equidae.